RNAcentral lists this ribosomal RNA (447 nucleotides) under uncultured bacterium. RNAcentral describes it as "partial 16S ribosomal RNA". It matches the Rfam family "Bacterial small subunit ribosomal RNA", at positions 29 to 523 of the family's 1533-position model. The record is from RNAcentral.
AACGAACGCUGGCGGCAGGCUUAACACAUGCAAGUCGAACGCCCCGCAAGGGGAGUGGCAGACGGGUGAGUAACGCGUGGGAAUCUACCCAGUUCUACGGAACAACUGAGGGAAACUUCAGCUAAUACCGUAUACGCCCUACGGGGGAAAGAUUUAUCGGAAUUGGAUGAGCCCGCGUAAGAUUAGAUAGUUGGUGGGGUAAUGGCCUACCAAGGCGACGAUCUUUAGCUGGUCUGAGAGGAUGAUCAGCCACACUGGGACUGAGACACGGCCCAGACUCCUACGGGAGGCAGCAGUGGGGAAUAUUGGACAAUGGGCGCAAGCCUGAUCCAGCCAUGCCGCGUGAGUGAUGAAGGCCUUAGGGUUGUAAAGCUCUUUCAGUAGGGAAGAUAAUGACGGUACCUACAGAAGAAGCCCCGGCUAACUUCGUGCCAGCAGCCGCCGUAA